CCCUUAGAUGUUCUGGGCCGCACGCGCGCUACACUGAUGCAUUCAACGAGUCUAAAACCUGCUCUGAUAGGGGUGGGUAAUCUUUUGAAUGUGCAUCGUGAUUGGGAUAGAUGAUUGCAAUUUUUCAUCUUCAACGAGGAAUGCCUAGUAAACGCAAGUCAUCAGCUUGCAUUGAUUACGUCCCUGCCCUUUGUACACACCGCCCGUCGCUCCUACCGACUGAAUGAUCCGAUGAAUAUCAUGGAUUGAGGAUGCAAGUAGGUUAGCCUAUCUUCAUCUUCGAGAAGUGAAGUAAAUCUUAUCAUUUAGAGGAAGGAGAAGUCGUAACA
RNAcentral lists this ribosomal RNA (329 nucleotides) under uncultured eukaryote. RNAcentral's name for it is "partial 18S ribosomal RNA". It matches the Rfam family "Eukaryotic small subunit ribosomal RNA", at positions 1470 to 1796 of the family's 1831-position model. The record is from RNAcentral.